This 306-nucleotide ribosomal RNA is filed under the name uncultured bacterium. Its description in RNAcentral is "partial 16S ribosomal RNA". It matches the Rfam family "Bacterial small subunit ribosomal RNA", at positions 507 to 807 of the family's 1533-position model. The record is from RNAcentral.
GACAGCAGCCGCCGCGGGAAAACAGAGGGUGCGAGCGUUAAUCGGAUUUACUGGGCGUAAAGCGUGCGUAGGCGGCUAAUUGAGUCGGAUGUGAAAUCCCCGAGCUUAACUUGGGAAUUGCAUUCGAUACUGGUUAGCUAGAGUGUGGGAGAGGAUGGUAGAAUUCCAGGUGUAGCGGUGAAAUGCGUAGAGAUCUGGAGGAAUACCGAUGGCGAAGGCAGCCAUCUGGCCUAACACUGACGCUGAGGUACGAAAGCAUGGGGAGCAAACAGGAUUAGAUACCCCCGUAGUCCCUGUCUCUUAUAC